GGGAAGUCCCUCUACAGCGAGGCAGCAAUUUUCGUUUACACCGAGAAUGUCGGCGGUUCGAGCCCGUCACUGCCCACCA
This 79-nucleotide transfer RNA is filed under the name Methylobacterium brachythecii. RNAcentral describes it as "tRNA-Ser". Lineage: Bacteria; Pseudomonadati; Pseudomonadota; Alphaproteobacteria; Hyphomicrobiales; Methylobacteriaceae. The record is from RNAcentral.